GCGUGGAGACAGGUGGUGCAUGGCUGUCGUCAGCUCGUGUCGUGAGAUGUUGGGUUAAGUCCCGCAACGAGCGCAACCCUCACCCCUAGUUGCCACCGGGUAAAGCCGAGCACUCGAGGGGAACUGCCAGCGUCAAGCUGGAGGAAGGCGGGGAUGACGUCAAGUCAUCAUGCCCCUUACGCCCUGGGCUACACACGUGCUACAAUGGCCGGUACAAAGGGACGCGAGACUGCAAAGUGGAGCUAAUCCCAAAAAACCGGUCUAAGUUCAGAUUGCAGUCUGCAACUCGACUGCAUGAAGGAGGAAUCGCUAGUAAUCGCGCAUCAGCACGGCGCGGUGAAUACGUUCCCGGGCCUUGUACACACCGCCCGUCACACCACGAAAGCUGUCUGUACUCGAUAGUCCGCUGAG
Molecule: ribosomal RNA, 411 nt
Filed under: uncultured Methylomirabilota bacterium
Lineage: Bacteria; Methylomirabilota (SeqCode)
Description: bacterial SSU rRNA
Rfam family: Bacterial small subunit ribosomal RNA
Source: RNAcentral